RNAcentral lists this ribosomal RNA (462 nucleotides) under uncultured bacterium. RNAcentral's name for it is "partial 16S ribosomal RNA". It matches the Rfam family "Bacterial small subunit ribosomal RNA", at positions 28 to 507 of the family's 1533-position model. The record is from RNAcentral.
GACGAACGCUGGCGGCGUGCUUAACACAUGCAAGUCGAACGGAAAGGCCCUUCGGGGUACUCGAGUGGCGAACGGGAGCGUAACACGUGGGUGAUCUGCCCUGCACUUUGGGAUAAGCAUGGGAAACUGGGUCUAAUACCGAAUAGGACCACGCGCUUCAUGGUGUGUGGUGGAAAGCUUUUGCGGUGUGGGAUGGGCCCGCGGCCUAUCAGCUUGUUGGUGGGGUAAUGGCCUACCAAGGCGACGACGGGUAGCCGGCCUGAGAGGGUGACCGGCCACACUGGGACUGAGAUACGGCCCAGACUCCUACGGGAGGCAGCAGUGGGGAAUAUUGCACAAUGGGCGCAAGCCUGAUGCAGCGACGCCGCGUGAGGGAUGACGGCCUUCGGGUUGUAAACCGCUUUCAACAGGGACGAAGCGCAAGUGACGGUACCUAUAGAAGAAGCACCGGCCAACUACGUG